CCACAACCCUGGUGUUGCAAACACCAUGCUCUACCAACUGAGCUACGGGGAAAGCCAGGUACAUAAAACAUUAGGGCCUACACCUCAUGGACUGCUAUGUGUUCCACAAUAAUUCACCACAUUGUUUCUUUCAAGACAAUGACCCAAAACACUCUGCCGCCCAGGUUUGCAUUGCAAAUGAGGGCAUAAACUGGGUCAAGACGCCAGCAGAUGCAUGGAUUCAACAAGCUUUGGACGAAGGACUUCCAUAGGGACUUCCACAGGGCCGUCAUCUCCAGAAACAAAUAACUUCUGAAACUCAUCAGUCUAUUCUUGUUCUGAGAAAUGAAGGCUAUUCCAUGCGAGAAAUUGCCAAGAAACUGAAGUACAUUAGAGUGUCUAGUUUGAGAAACAGACGUCUCACAAGUCCUCAACUGGCAGUUUCAUUAAAUAGUACCCGCAAAACACCAGUCUCAAUACCAACAGUGAAGAGGUGACUCCGGGAUGCUGGCCUUCUAGGCAGAGUUCCUCUGUCCAGUGUCUGUGUUCUUUUGCCCAUCUUAAUCUUUUAUUUUUAUUGGCCUGUCUGAGAUAUGGCUUUUCUUUGCAACUCUGCCUAGAAG
RNAcentral lists this long non-coding RNA (602 nucleotides) under Salmo salar (Atlantic salmon). Its description in RNAcentral is "lncRNA (ENSSSAG00000085974.1)". Lineage: Eukaryota; Metazoa; Chordata; Actinopteri; Salmoniformes; Salmonidae. The record is from RNAcentral.